Delphinapterus leucas (beluga whale) is the source of this 989-nucleotide long non-coding RNA. RefSeq lists it as uncharacterized. The record is from RefSeq and is a predicted model, not a curated record. NCBI's taxonomy places the organism in Eukaryota, Metazoa, Chordata, Mammalia, Artiodactyla, Monodontidae.
AGGCCCCGCCCGCCCCGGCCGGUGAGCAGACAAGCCUCUCGGGCUGUCCUGAGUUCCCAGGUGGCAAACGAUACCAACUUUUCUUCCUCAUGAUGACUUCCAGAAGUGAAAAAACGAAAUCCAGAACACACUGUCUUCUUAGGAAACAUGAUGCCAGAGUUACUAGAAGAAAGAUGAAAACAACUGCAAAAGCUUGGAGGCUAGGAGCUGAGAUUAUCUGAAGACUUGCUCAUUCACAUGUAUGGUGGUUGAUGCUGGCUGUCAGGUAGCCAAGUUUUUUCCUGUGUCCUGCCUGCUGUCUGCUAAACAUCGUGGCUCCAGGACUUCUGACUUAGAGGUGAUGGUGGGCAAGAGUGGUCUUCAGAACUGCAAGGGACCUCACUGACUCCUGCAGACCCACCAGCCCAACUGCCUGGAAACUGCCAUUGUCCAAGAUAAUCUCCCACUUCGGGCCCCUAAUUUUAGUCUCCCAACAACGCGGGAUUCGGCCUCCAUCCGAUCCAGUGAUUGCAUCCAGUUCUUGGAGCAGCAUGGCGUCCAGAGUCCUCUCUGGGGUGCCCUUAUCAACAUAGCACCAGAUUAUCUACCCAGUCUGAGAAUUUAACGCUGCAACUUCGUUCUUCUCUGUGGCUAAAACCAACAUUUUAGAUCCAGGAAAAAUUCCAGGACGGCAAACUUGAGCUUCCCCAAAUACCGCUGUCUCCAAACUUGCCCGCUUGGUCUCUGUAGACAGCAGCUGCACAGAUACGCAGGGAAGGCCAGAGUCAGAAACCAAAAGCCUACGGGCACAGCCGUGAUGGGAGCCUAGGCCCCGCCCGCUACCGGCCCAGCAUACACCGCGGCGCAGGCUCGGACUCCGUGGAACCUGAGAGUUGGCACCGCACGCAACACCUUCGGUGAGUUGCUCUUAAUACUUGUUUUCUCAGUUUUCACUUAUUUGUCCAUACGAAAUUGCUGGGUUUUUUGUUUUUGUUUUUUUUUACGGUACG